AUAUUUACAAAAUAAAUUCUUUUGUAGGCAUUUUUACAAAUUAACCGUGUACCUAACUCAAUUCUUGAAUGUGUAAUAGAACACAUAUGUAAAACGGAUGUUCUUGUAUUCAUUGGUACAAUUCAUUCUUUGGAACAAUGAAGACGCUGCUCGAUGUUUUAAACUUCUUAUUAAAGAUAUUAUCAAAGCAACUAUUAUAUACAUUAAUUUUUUCUUUAUUUUUUAAUAAUAUUUUCCAUGUAUGGAUCAAUGUAAAACGAAUUCUGCACUGGUUCAUAUUUUUCGAAAAUAUUAUUACAAAAUAAAUAAUUUUGUAGGCAUUUUUACAAAUUUAACGUGUACCUAACUCGGUCCUUGAACGUGUAAUAGAAUAACUAUUAUAUACAUUAAGUAUUUUUAUUUUUUCAAUAAUAUUUUCCUUGUAUGGAUCAAUGUAAAACGAAUUUUGCACUGGUUUAUAUUUUUUGGAAAUAUUAUUACUAAAUAAAUUUUUUUGUAGGCAUUUUUACAAAUUAACCGUGUACCAUAUUCGGUCCUUAAACGUGAAAUAAAACACAUAUGUAAAACGGAUGUUUUUGUAUUCAAUGGUAAAAUUCAUUCAUUGGAACAAUGAAGACGUUGCUCGAUGUUUUAAACUUCUUAUUAAAGAUAUUAUCAGAGAAACUAUUAUAUUUUUUAAGUAUUUUUAUUUUUCAAUAAUAUAUUCCUUGUAUGGAUUAAUGUAAAACGAAUUUUGCACUGGUUUAUAUUUUUUGGAAAUAUUAUUACUAAAUAAAUUCUUUUGUAGGCAUUUUUACAAAUAUAAUGUUUAUGAAUUCAUUUAUUGGAACAAUGAAGACGUUGCUCGAUGUUUUAAACUUCUUAUUAAAGAUAUUAUCAGAGAAACUAUUAUAUACAUUAAUUUUUUUUUAAUUUUUCAAUAAUAUUUUCCAUGUAUGGAUCAAUGUAAAACGAAUUAUGCUCUGGUUUUUAUUUUUUGAAAAUAUUAUUCCUUAAUAAAUUCUGUUGUAGGCAUUUUUACAAAAUUUAUGUUUAUAAAUUCAUUUAUUGGAACAAUGAAGACGUUGCUCGAUGUUUUAAACUUCUUAUUAAAGAUAUUAUCAGAGAAACUAUUAUAUACAUUAAUUUUUUUUUUAUUUUUCAAUAAUAUUUUCCAUGUAUGGAUCAAUGUAAAACGAAUUUUGCACUGGUUUAUAUUUUUUGGAAAUAUUAUUACUAAAUAAAUUCUUUUGUAGGUAUUUUUACAAAUUAUCCGUGUACCAUAUUCGGUCCUUAAACGUGAAAUAAAACACAUAUGUAAAACGGAUGUUUUUGUAUUCAAUGGUAAAAUUCAUUCAUUGGAACAAUGAAGACGUUGCUCGAUGUUUUAAACUUCUUAUUAAAGAUAUUAUCAGAGAAACUAUUAUNUAUUG
Cinara cedri is the source of this 1412-nucleotide non-coding RNA. NCBI's taxonomy places the organism in Eukaryota, Metazoa, Arthropoda, Insecta, Hemiptera, Aphididae. The record is from the annotation of a GenBank genome assembly.